CGCGUAGGCGGCUCGGUAAGUCUGAAGUGAAAGUCCUGGCUUUAAGUUGGGAAUUGCUUUGGAUACUGUCGGGCUUGAGUGCAGGAGAGGUUAGUGGAAUUCCCAGUGUAGCGGUGAAAUGCGUAGAGAUUGGGAGGAACACCAGUGGCGAAGGCGACUAACUGGACUGUAACUGACGCUGAGGCGCGAAAGUGUGGGGAGCAAACAG
This 208-nucleotide ribosomal RNA is filed under the name uncultured bacterium. RNAcentral describes it as "partial 16S ribosomal RNA". It matches the Rfam family "Bacterial small subunit ribosomal RNA", at positions 568 to 775 of the family's 1533-position model. The record is from RNAcentral.